UACGUAGGUGACAAGCGUUGUCCGGAUUUACUGGGCGUAAAGAGCGCGCAGGCGGUCGUUCAAGUCGAGUGUGAAAGCCCCCGGCUCAACUGGGGAGGGUCAUUCGAUACUGAUCGACUCGAAGGCAGGAGAGGGGAGUGGAAUUCCCGGUGUAGUGGUGAAAUGCGUAGAUAUCGGGAGGAACACCAGUGGCGAAGGCGGCUCACUGGACCGGUACUGACGCUGAGGCGCGAAAGCGUGGGGAGCAAACAGG
RNAcentral lists this ribosomal RNA (253 nucleotides) under uncultured bacterium. Its description in RNAcentral is "partial 16S ribosomal RNA". It matches the Rfam family "Bacterial small subunit ribosomal RNA", at positions 524 to 776 of the family's 1533-position model. The record is from RNAcentral.